GGUCAGCCCAGUGUAAUUUGGAUGGGUAACCAUAGACGUGAGAAUUGUCUCUAUUUCAUGGAAUUCAUCCCGAGUUUCGAUGUGAUUGUUCUUUCUUCUGGCCACCACAACUGUCCUCCCACAAUUUCAUUGCUCAAGACAUAGACAGAUUGCUUGGCAAACCAAUGGCCAGAAGAAAGAACAAUCACAUCGAAACUUGGGAUGAAUUCCAUGAAAUCCU
Molecule: unclassified non-coding RNA, 220 nt
Filed under: Hevea brasiliensis (rubber tree)
Lineage: Eukaryota; Viridiplantae; Streptophyta; Magnoliopsida; Malpighiales; Euphorbiaceae
Source: RNAcentral